CAUGCAAGUCGAACGCGAAAGCCCCGCAAGGGGUGAGUAGAGUGGCAAACGGGUGAGUAACACGUGGGUGAUCUGCCUCAGAGUGGGGGAUAACGACCCGAAAGGGUCGCUAAUACCGCAUAACAUCCUGCCUUUGGAUAGGCGGCGAUCAAAGCUAGGGACCGCAAGGCCUGGCGCUAGGAGAGGAGCCCGCGGCCGAUUAGCUAGUUGGUGAGGUAAUGGCUCACCAAGGCAACGAUCGGUAUCCGGCCUGAGAGGGCGGACGGACACACUGGGACUGAGACACGGCCCAGACUCCUACGGGAGGCAGCAGUGGGGAAUUGUUCGCAAUGGGCGCAAGCCUGACGACGCAACGCCGCGUGGAGGACGAAGACCUUCGGGUCGUAAACUCCUUUCGAUCGGGAAGAAUGGCUUCCGGGUUAACAGCCCGGAGGAAUGACGGUACCGAGAGAAGAAGCCCCGGCUAACUCUGUGCCAGCAGCCGCGGUAAUACAGGGGGGGCAAGCGUUGUUCGGAAUUACUGGGCGUAAAGGGCUCGUAGGCGGCCAACUAAGUCACACGUGAAAUCCCCAGGCUUAACCUGGGAACUGCGUGUGAUACUGGAUGGCUUGAAUUCGGGAGAGGGAUGCAGAAUUCCAGGUGUAGCGGUGAAAUGCGUAGAUAUCUGGAGGAAUACCGGUGGCGAAGGCGGCAUCCUGGACCGACAUUGACGCUGA
RNAcentral lists this ribosomal RNA (716 nucleotides) under uncultured bacterium. Its description in RNAcentral is "bacterial SSU rRNA". It matches the Rfam family "Bacterial small subunit ribosomal RNA", at positions 54 to 749 of the family's 1533-position model. The record is from RNAcentral.